AGAGUUUGAUCCUGGCUCAGAAUCAACGCUGGCGGCGUGCCUAACACAUGCAAGUCGCACGAGAAAGGGUAGCAAUACCUGAGUAAAGUGGCGCACGGGUGAGUAACACGUGAAUUAUCUACCUCCGAGUGGGGAAUAACUGAGAGAAAUCUUAGCUAAUACCGCAUAACACUUACGAGUCAAAGCAGCAAUGCGCUUGGAGAGGAGUUCGCGGCCGAUUAGUUAGUUGGCGGGGUAAUGGCCCACCAAGACGAUGAUCGGUAUCCGGCCUGAGAGGGCGCACGGACACACUGGAACUGAAACACGGUCCAGACUCCUACGGGAGGCAGCAGUGGGGAAUUUUGCGCAAUGGGGGAAACCCUGACGCAGCAACGCCGCGUGGAGGAUGAAAUAUCUUGGUAUGUAAACUCCUUUCGAUGGGGAAGAUUAUGACGGUACCCAUAGAAGAAGCCCCGGCUAACUUCGUGCCAGCAGCCGCGGUAAUACGAGGGGGGCAAGCGUUGUUCGGAUUUAUUGGGCGUAAAGGGUGCGUAGGCGGUUUGGCAAGUCUGAUGUGAAAUCUAUGGGCUCAACCCAUAGUCUGCAUCAGAAACUGCCGGGCUUGAGUAUGGGAGAGGUGAGUGGAAUUUCCGGUGUAGCGGUGAAAUGCGUAGAUAUCGGAAGGAACACCUGUGGCGAAAGCGGCUCACUGGACCAUAACUGACGCUGAUGCACGAAAGCUAGGGGAGCAAACAGGAUUAGAUACCCUAGUAGUCC
This 756-nucleotide ribosomal RNA is filed under the name uncultured bacterium. RNAcentral's name for it is "bacterial SSU rRNA". It matches the Rfam family "Bacterial small subunit ribosomal RNA", at positions 8 to 796 of the family's 1533-position model. The record is from RNAcentral.